This 338-nucleotide long non-coding RNA is filed under the name Linum usitatissimum (flax). RNAcentral describes it as "long non-coding RNA (LUSI_LNC001171)". The record is from RNAcentral. Lineage: Eukaryota; Viridiplantae; Streptophyta; Magnoliopsida; Malpighiales; Linaceae.
AUUGAUGUUUCAUUGAUCAUGAGAAGUUUAGACCACAACGAGUUAGACCAUGUCUACGCAGCGUGCCAUCAUGGCUUAAUCAUUGGGCCCAUCACUACCAUUGAAGAUACCAAGAGUUCAUGACCAUAUCAAGCCUUCUAGUUAUAGGAUUCAGAACCCAGGUAUUACUGCAGGUGUGCCAUUCCCCAAGAACUGUAUGCUCAGAAGCUAGACAGCAUCAUUCAAUUCACUGAUUAGAGUAUAGAAUCAGAACUACUGGAGCAACUAACAACCGAUUAGAGAACUUAGUCACUCAUGUAAUGGUGCAAUUUAUUGAUCCCGCUUGGGUUAAGCAUGGG